Molecule: ribosomal RNA, 443 nt
Filed under: uncultured bacterium
Lineage: Bacteria
Description: partial 16S ribosomal RNA
Rfam family: Bacterial small subunit ribosomal RNA
Source: RNAcentral
CCUACGGGAGGCAGCAGUAGGGAAUCUUUCACAAUGGGCGAAAGCCUGAUGGAGCAACGCCGCGUGCAGGAUGAAGGCCUUCGGGUUGUAAACUGCUUUUAUAAGCGAGAAAUAUGAUGGUAACUUAUGAAUAAGGAUCGGCUAACUACGUGCCAGCAGCCGCGGUCAUACGUAGGAUCCGAGCAUUAUCCGGAGUGACUGGGUGUAAAGAGUUGCGUAGGUGGCAUAAUAAGUAGCUAGUGAAAUCUGGGGGCUCAACCAUUCAGACUAUUAGCUAAACUGUUAAGCUCGAGACCGUUAGGAGUAACGGGAAUUUCUAGUUGAGGAGGGAAAUCCGUAGAUAAUAGAAAGGACACCAAUAGCGUAGGGAGGUUACUGGGACUGUUCUGACACUAGGGCACGAAAGCGUAGGGAGCAAACGGGAUUAGAUACCCCUAGUAGUC